RNAcentral lists this ribosomal RNA (253 nucleotides) under uncultured bacterium. RNAcentral describes it as "partial 16S ribosomal RNA". It matches the Rfam family "Bacterial small subunit ribosomal RNA", at positions 524 to 776 of the family's 1533-position model. The record is from RNAcentral.
UACAGAGGGGGCAAGCGUUGUUCGGAAUUACUGGGCGUAAAGGGCGCAUAGGCGGCCUGUUAAGUCGAACGUGAAAUCCCUGGGCUCAACCCAGGAACUGCGUCCGAUACUGGCAGGCUUGAAUUCGGGAGAGGGAUGCGGAAUUCCAGGUGUAGCGGUGAAAUGCGUAGAUAUCUGGAGGAACACCGGUGGCGAAGGCGGCAUCCUGGACCGAUAUUGACGCUGAGGCGCGAAAGCCAGGGGAGCAAACGGG